RNAcentral lists this ribosomal RNA (342 nucleotides) under Triticum aestivum (bread wheat). RNAcentral describes it as "partial small subunit ribosomal RNA". Lineage: Eukaryota; Viridiplantae; Streptophyta; Magnoliopsida; Poales; Poaceae. The record is from RNAcentral.
AUUUGGUGGCAGAGCUAUGAGGCUAUGCUUCCAGCUGGUCAGAUUCCUACGUGGAAGGAUUUCACCGAGGCUUUUCGUGAGCACCACAUUCCUCAGGCUCUCAUUGACCGCAAGAGGGAAGAGUUCUGUAGUUUUACCCAGGGUAAGCUGCCUGUUGAUGCUUACAGUAGAGAGUUUGGAAACCUCGCCCGCUAUGCUACAGAAGAAGUGUCCACGGACGCUAAGAAGAAGGUUAGGUUCCGGAAGGGUCUCAACCCUAAGUUGCGUCGUGAUCUCCACCUGCAUCAUUGUGUUACUUUCGAGGCUCUUGUGAACAAGGCCAUUAAUGCGGAGACAGCUUAG